GGCACCGUGGCCUAGCGGCUAACGCAGUUGUUUUUGGAUCUGCAUACCAAGGUUCGAUUCCAGCUGGUGGCA
Caenorhabditis brenneri is the source of this 72-nucleotide non-coding RNA. The record is from the annotation of a GenBank genome assembly. Lineage: Eukaryota; Metazoa; Nematoda; Chromadorea; Rhabditida; Rhabditidae.